GGGAAACGCCCGGUUACAUUCCGAACCCGGAAGCUAAGCCUUUCAGCGCCGAUGGUACUGCAGGGGGGACCCUGUGGGAGAGUAGGACACCGCCGAAC
This 98-nucleotide ribosomal RNA is filed under the name Streptomyces sp. TX20-6-3. The record is from RNAcentral. Lineage: Bacteria; Bacillati; Actinomycetota; Actinomycetes; Kitasatosporales; Streptomycetaceae.